GACCGUGCGAAGGUAGCAUAAUCAUUAGUUUUUUAAUUGAAGGCUAGAAUGAAUGGUUGGACAAGAAAUAAUCUGUCUUAAAUUAAUAUAUUGAAUUUAACUUUUAAGUGAAAAGGCUUAAAUAAUCUGAAGGGACGAUAAGACCCUAUAAAACUUUAUAUUGAAAAGUGAUAGGUACAUUUUGUUUAAAGAAUUAUUACUUUAAAGUAUUUGGUUGGGGUGACAAAAAUAGAAGAUAAAGUAACUGUUUUUUUUUUAUACAAUAAUGUUUGGGUUAGUGAUCCUAAAAUGGAUUAAAGAUUAAGUUACUUUAGGGAUAACA
RNAcentral lists this ribosomal RNA (322 nucleotides) under Cambarus tenebrosus. Its description in RNAcentral is "partial 16S ribosomal RNA". The record is from RNAcentral. Lineage: Eukaryota; Metazoa; Arthropoda; Malacostraca; Decapoda; Cambaridae.